GACGAACGCUGGCGGCGUGCUUAACACAUGCAAGUCGAACGAAGUGGCGAACGGGUGAGUAACGCGUAAUCAACCUGCCCUUCAGAGGGGGACAACAGUUGGAAACGACUGCUAAUACCGCAUACUGAAGGAGGGGAUUGCGUCGGAUUAGCUAGGUGGAGGGGUAACGGCCCACCAAGGCGAUGAUCAGUAGCCGGUCUGGGAGGGUGGACGGCCAAAUUGGGACUGGGAAACGGCCCAGACUCCUACGGGGGGCAGCAGUGGGGAAUCUUCCGAAAUGGACGAAAGUCUGACGGAGCAACGCCGCGGGAGUGAUGACGGCCUUCGGGUUGUAAAGCUCUGUUAAUCGGGACGCGGUACCGGAAGAGAAAGCAACGGCUAACUACGUGCCAGCAGCCGCGGUAAUAC
RNAcentral lists this ribosomal RNA (408 nucleotides) under uncultured bacterium. RNAcentral describes it as "partial 16S ribosomal RNA". It matches the Rfam family "Bacterial small subunit ribosomal RNA", at positions 28 to 526 of the family's 1533-position model. The record is from RNAcentral.